CCGCCAGGUGAAACUCAUGUCCUUUGAUUUCAGGUAGUUUAGUGUUGGACAAACAAACCAGAGCGGACACUGCCAUCAAACUGUGAACUAAACUUCCUCUAGAGCUCUGUCAACAAAGAAACAAACUGACUGACUGUCAAAACAACAAAUAAACAAGUGCAGAUGGACGGUAAUGGAUGCUUCGCCUUCAUGAAAGAAAGAAGAAUGAACUACAAAUGAACUGGACCACAACCCAAACCCUCCAGACCCGUUCAGACCUGAACCACCUUGGUCCCACUCGGUUUGUCUUGACUGAUCCAGAGACCUUGAGUGAGACGGGAGGAUGGAGGUAGAGAUGAGGGGGAAGGAGGAGAUGCAGACACGUCACUGAGUGAGAGAAGUCCAACUGAAAGUCUACAGGAAAGAAAAAAACUUAAAUCCACUGAAGUGAAGAGGACGGAGGGAAGAAGGUGAUCUUCUGAGUCCUGUGUGAUUAAAACAAAAGUGUAUCAGUCGUCAAGGCAGCAAACGGAAGUUGAGCAGCUACUCUGUCAGAAGAUCAACUAUCUAACUCAGGGUUCAACUUGCCUGGUCCCUGUACUCUCACAUCCUCCAACUCCACCGUGAACCUCCUUCUGGAUGCAGAUCUACAGAACAAAGAGCAGGUUGAGAAAUGAUUUUGUCUGUUCAGCAUCAUUUUACACGACUCCAUCACAUACAACUUCAAGCGGUGUAGCAUGCUGCAGUAUAUUAAGCUCAAACUACACUUCUGAGGAAAAAAAACUAAACGAUUCGAUCUACAGUUUGUCUGCAGUGUACGUUCUCGAAAACUAGUGAUUCUAGUGAUUCUUUUCUUGAUCUCCUCUUUGUCGCCUGUGUGUGCGCACACCAACGCAAACAGAAAAUACCACGUGUUCCUUCGUGUGCACCACUUCUCCUCGCUAAGCCUCACAUUAUACACACGGCUGUGUGCAGCAGCAAAACAAGACCAAAGAAUCUCAGCUGCCAAGUAUUAAUAGAUAUUUUUAGGUGGAUUUCGGCAUAACGUAGACUUACACCUCAAUAUACGGAGAGUUCUACUGCAAAAAUGACGCUUAUAUUUGCAAAAAUAUAAUGAUUAGGAAGAGAUUGCACUGUUUUAGUUCAGAUAACUAACGUUUUAGUGACAUUUGUCCCUUCUGGGUAUCCAUAAGUCUUUGCUGUUGCUGUAUUUCUCAGAUUUUUGAACGCUUCACUGACAGCGCAGAACAUAAAAAUGACACGUCGUACCAAACAAAGACGUUUGAAAUGUCAAAUCUAAAGAAAGGGAAACGGCAAACCUGUUGAAGGGCCGACGUGACACGGCUUUUCUUUACCAUGGGAGACACCAUAUGUUUCUUUAAAACAGGCUGAAAGCGCCGAGUAUCGUGAGCGGCACAUUUAGACAGACUGAGACAAAGAGAGAACAUGAGUGAAAAUGAUUCAGAGGAGAGCUGUUAAGAGAAGGAGUCGGGCCACGAUGUUGUUAUUACAGAUUAAUAUACUCUUCAGGUCCUUUUAUUCAAACGGCUCACCUCUCAAAAUCAGAUGCUCGGAGCUCUUUGAUGACUACUUUGAGCUAAAUGCGUGUUAUUACAGGUAUUACAUGAAAUUGCCCGUGUUAGGUGAAGGGGAUUAUGGUGCUUUUCGGUCAAUACUUCCUCUGAGCUGUUUGGCUGCUGGAGCUGAGCAGCGAUUAGGCUUUUGUCUGUCAAUCCGACUUCAUAGAGGCGGUUAUCACACACACACGAGCAGAUACACAUAACCACCACCUUCUGUCGCACGCACACACACACACUUGUGUAGAAACCGCAGUGAUUAUGGUCUGUAGGUAUCGGGCCCAUUCAGCGUGCUGAGAGGUGUCAGAGCUAGACCUCCACCUCUCCACACACACUAACACACAGUGUGACAUGGUGAAAGAUGGAAAAUGUGUUUGAUCGGCUCAAAUGUCACAAAGACUCUUUGCUGAGUGGACUUCAUGCGCUGUACAUAAUCAUGUAUAUAUGUUAUCAACCAUUUUCAAUAUUUUAUUUUAUUGUCAGAGUUAUCAGUGCGACAGUAAUGUUUGUUACUGUAGUAGAAGAUCACCAUCGAGAGGACGGAGUUUAGUAGCCCUGCCGCAUGUUUACCAUUAUUAUUUAGUAUCUUAUUAGUUAUGAUUAAGACACGAGUCGUUACAUUCACAGUCAUCAUUCAAGAUUGUAACAAACUUACUGCAAACUGCUGUUAGAAACUGAUAAUAAACCUGAUCAGCCACUCAGUAAUCAAUACACAACCAUUAAUCAAACCAAUAACGAAGUCAGACAACCUUAUCAUACUUAAUAGUCCGGGGAACAACAAAUCAUUACAUGACCAUUAAACAUAAUGGACGUCAUGUGUCGGCAGUCUUGUUAAUUUGGCAUCGAUGUCAUCGAGGAUUAUGCGACCAUGAACCAGCGAGGUGAAGUGUUCUUGGAUCAGUGGACAUUCAACGUCGGCUUCUAAACUUCCUGUUUGGCACUAAAAAGAGCGCACCUACCGUCUGAUAGGAUUCAACAAGACAAGACAAAGCUACAAAGCUCAGAAGCUGGUGUUCAAACAUGUUUAU
This is a long non-coding RNA of Larimichthys crocea (large yellow croaker), 2584 nucleotides long. RefSeq lists it as uncharacterized. NCBI's taxonomy places the organism in Eukaryota, Metazoa, Chordata, Actinopteri, Sciaenidae. The record is from RefSeq and is a predicted model, not a curated record. The transcript is spliced from 4 exons.